CCCGGGCCUUGUACACGCCGCCCGUCACACCAUGGGAGUUGGUUUUACCCGAAGACGGUGCGCUAACCGCAAGGAGGCAGCCGGCCACGGUAGGGUCAGCGACUGGGGUG
This 110-nucleotide ribosomal RNA is filed under the name uncultured bacterium. RNAcentral's name for it is "partial 16S ribosomal RNA". It matches the Rfam family "Bacterial small subunit ribosomal RNA", at positions 1373 to 1482 of the family's 1533-position model. The record is from RNAcentral.